Molecule: long non-coding RNA, 1873 nt
Organism: Phacochoerus africanus (Common warthog)
Lineage: Eukaryota; Metazoa; Chordata; Mammalia; Artiodactyla; Suidae
Exons: 2
Source: RefSeq, a predicted model, not a curated record
GACCCCUGUGGGGCAGGUUCCUUGGAAGCCUGCGGUUUUGACUUGAGCACCUGGAAUCUCUUAAGUUUUUAACUUUGCAGUUUUAUUUUCCAAAGGCUUUCUCUUGUUCUCUAAUUGUUCCCUUUCUAGCACCCAGUUCUCACUUUAUAAACCCACUGUCUUCCUUAAAAUUCUGAAAACAUGAAUUUGGAUUUUUUUGGUGAAGCUCUCCCUUGUGUCCUGUAUUAUAUUGGUUUUUUUUCUCCAAAAAUAGUUCGGUUUGUUCAUCAUGAUCUUCUCUUUCAUUUUCUUCAAAUAUCUGGCGGAUGUUUGUUCGUUCAUAUUUUGGAGUAAAGGACUCAUUUGGUUGGCCUAGGUGACUAGCAUGGCUGUGAGCUACAGCUUGAAGUCCAUGUCAUUAAGUCUUCUCCGAAUGGAAGCGUGGAGUGUGUCCGUUGGGAGUGGUCUCUCUCUGGGAUACAUGGGUUGGAGCUUGCAGGUAAGAUAGGGAGCAUCUCCAAGGCCAAAAUCUUGUCAUUUUCUGACACUGGAAGACUUCUGUGUAUCUCUUCUAGGUAGAUGUGUCCUUCCAUUUUGUUUCUCUUCUGCUGCACACUCUUCCACACUUAUCUCACACCUGCUCCUGAGCCAUUGAAUGAUGUAAGGAGACUAUCGUCCCAUCACUUGCACCAUCAGUGUGCACUGGAUCUUGCACGCCGGGCGCUGAGCACGUGGUUCCCGGAGCCCUCUUCCUUCCUUGGCAAAGAGUACAGAGAGAAAGGAGCCGCAAAAGCGGCUCCGGAAGGCCUGGAACAGCCGGUUGGAGACAUCUGCUGGGGUGGAAGAUGGCUUCGACUCCCACGUACAGCCGGGGGAUGCUUCCGGGAAGGACCGGGUUGGGGAGCCUGGCCCCCGGGAGCCCCCGUUAAUAAAGGUGACCUGGGAGCCCGUCCCCGUCCUGUCAGCGGCCAACAGGACUUGAGGAGCCCCUGCCAGACCCGCUGAUUUCCUGCCCUCUGGCCCAUCCUGGCAACCCCUUGGGAUAGGUUUGGUUUGAGCAUCUCCCACGCGAGGAAACCGAGUCCGGAAUAUAAACGACUCACCCACGAUGAUGUGGACACUGGAUUAAAGUCCGCGCCUCCUCCUCAGUCACCUGUUCAGGAAAACGGGGUGUCAAGAGGCCAGUGGGUCAUGUGCUUUCUUGAGGCCUGUCCCAGCUUUAUAUAAGGUGCCAGCAAAGAGGUGCAGAUAGCUGUUGUGAUGCUCUAGCAGCUCAGGAAGGCGGCCCCUGCCCUUCUUGGCAGAGUCCUGACCUUCAGCAAGGCCAGUUUCUCCUCCCCCCCCCCCCGCCCCCGCGCACGCAGAACAGUCCCUUUUUGGCUCUGUUUCUACUAGAAAAUGUGUUUAGCGAUUUUUUAAAAAAUCUUGAAGGGUCGUAGUUUGAGACUGAACACACCGUUUUCCCCAGCGGGCUGCCAAGCCCCCAACCAGGGCCGGGAUGGGGCUGAAGAGGAAAGAAGGUGUCUCAUUCCUCUCCUGAGCUGGCCAGACCCCCAGCUGGGUUCUUGCUUUACAUUCUUCUGUUCUAAUGUAUAGGUGCUGCUUCCUCAGAAGUAUGUGAUCUCUCCACCUCUUUCAAUGGAGACAAUCAAUAUUUCAUCCUAGGGCUAGAACAGAGGCUUGGGCUGCUUUUCCACAUAGGACUAAAAUAAUUUUUCUCGAACAUUAUUUCGUACCUUGCUCCCAAACUACUGCCCCUUGGUUGAUUCUCCAAAUAACUUUUGAUAGUUGUAUAUGCGUAUUUCCAGCUAUACUUUGUGAAAUGUUAUGAAGGUCAUCUCCCCUCUCCAUCUCUCAGCACUUCGAUGCACAUAAAUCGCAAAUAAUUGCUACA